ACUGUUGCUCAUUCGAACUCUUUACCAAAACCUAAAACCCUGCUAUCAUCGUCGUUUUUUUAUUUCUGUAACUAUUAUUCUUUACGUAACAUCAAACAAGAAUGAUGGUGGUGUCUAAUUAAAUGAUGAAUUUCACUAAAUUGAAGUUUUUCAAAUGAGUUUUCUUAUGAUCCACAAGCAUUUACUUAGGGGCUUUUAUAGGGAGGAGAUGGUUUUGGAUUUGAAUUAACUGGUUUGUAAGCAUUUGCAGUGGAGAAAAAAAUGACAUGUAUUAUGAGAGACUUCUUAUGGGGAGCUAGUUCUGGAAGGAGAAAAAUUUGUUGGAUAGCAUGGAAAACAAUGGUGAAACCAAAAGCAAUGGGAGGCUUGGGAAUUAGGAGCUUAAGGGCAACAAACAAAGCCUUAAUGGAAAAAUGGAGAUGGAGAUUCACAAAGCCCUAUGGAGGAAGGUGAUUCAAUGCAAAACCAAAUCAGAUGAGACUGACUUAUGUCCACUAGAAUGCAAUCUGCCACAAGGAAGGGGUUAUUGGAAAGAAAUCCAUAAGGAAAGUGAGUUGGUCUUUUCCAAUUCAAAAAUAAAGAUUGGUAAUGGCAAAACUGUUAAGUUCUGGCUAGACAUCUGGAAAGGAAUUACUCCUCUAUGCAAAAAAAAAUAAAUCCUAUAGCUUUCAAGGCUGCAAUUCAUAAAAAAGCUAGAGUGGCAGAUCUAAUUCACAAUGGAAGAUGGAGGAUACAACUGAGGAAAAAUUGAAGCUCAGAAGUGGCAGAGGCUUUCUCCAGCAUGCUAACUCUUUUGGGGGUUUCCAGCUACUCUAAAUGAAGAGUUGGAUUCAAUCAAGUUCCAGUCAGGAGAUGCUUACACAACUAGAGAGGGAUACAAAUGUAUAACGCAGAAAGACAAUCCCCAACAAUCUUCGAGUCUCGGCUAUGUUUGGAAGAAGCACAUCCCUCCUAAAGCUCAAGUAUUUGUGUGGUUUGCUGUACAAAACGCAAUACGAACAGUUGACAAUUUAAACAAGAGAGGAUGUGACAUAGAAGAAACCAACUGCAGUUUCUGUAAUGUUACUGCAGAAGAUGUUGAUCAUAUACUGCUAGGUUGUUCUUUCUUUCUCUAGGGACAUAUGGGACUAUUUCACAACUCGAAUGAGACAUGACUGGUCACUCAAACUGACAGCGAAAGAGAAACUUGAAUCGCGGAACUCUACAAGAGAGAAGAAGAUUAAGACUAAGGUUUGGGCCAUUCUGCCGUUUGCAGUUUUAUGGGCAGAGAAACAGAAGUGUGAUGGAGAAAAAGAGGGGAAGGGAUAAAGAUGAAGUGAUCAUCGAGAUAAAAAGAUUUGUAUACGGGCUCUUUACCUGAUUGGUUCAAACACCAUAGUUUCAGGGACGUGAUAUAUUCAAUGGGAGGCUAUGGAUGGUAACUGCUUUUUCUGCCUAUCCAGUUAGGCUUGUAACUGGGCUUCAAGUUGCCGUUUUUCUUUGAACCCUUAUUUGGGGCAUACAAGAUAAUUUUGGGGCAUAUAAAAUAAGACAAAAACAGGGUUGGAAAUAGUGUUUUUAGGGUAU
Molecule: long non-coding RNA, 1566 nt
Organism: Papaver somniferum (opium poppy)
Lineage: Eukaryota; Viridiplantae; Streptophyta; Magnoliopsida; Ranunculales; Papaveraceae
Exons: 3
Source: RefSeq, a predicted model, not a curated record